AACGCACAUUGCGCCCCUUGGUAUUCCAUGGGGCAUGCCUGUUCGAGCGUCAUUUGUACCCUUCAAGCUCUGCUUGGUGUUGGGUGUUUGUCUCGCCUCUGCGGUAGACUCGCCUUAAAUGUCUCCGGCUGUAUUGACCCGUCUCCCAGCGUUGUGGCAACUAUUUCGCAGUGGAGUUCGAGUUGGAUCGGCCAAGUUAAAUCUUUACAAAGGUUGACCUCGGAUCAGGUAGGGAUACCCGCUGAACUUAA
RNAcentral lists this unclassified non-coding RNA (251 nucleotides) under uncultured Epicoccum. RNAcentral's name for it is "partial contains 5.8S ribosomal RNA, internal transcribed spacer 2, and large subunit ribosomal RNA". Lineage: Eukaryota; Fungi; Ascomycota; Dothideomycetes; Pleosporales; Leptosphaeriaceae. The record is from RNAcentral.